GGCUAGCGUUGUUCGGAAUUACUGGGCGUAAAGCGAACGUAGGCGGUGUUCCAUGUCAGAGGUGAAAGCCUGGGGCUCAACUCCAGAAUUGCCUUUGAAACGGGGACGCUUGAGUCCGAGAGAGGGUGGCGGAAUUCCUAGUGUAGAGGUGAAAUUCGUAGAUAUUAGGAAGAACACCAGUGGCGAAGGCGGCCACCUGGCUCGGUACUGACGCUCAGGUUCGAAAGCGUGGGGAGCAAACAGG
Molecule: ribosomal RNA, 244 nt
Filed under: uncultured bacterium
Lineage: Bacteria
Description: partial 16S ribosomal RNA
Rfam family: Bacterial small subunit ribosomal RNA
Source: RNAcentral